AAAUAUAUUAGUUCGCAUUAAUUUCCCUAAUAACAAAUAAACUUACGUUUCAGCAGAACACAGCAGCAGCUAGUAACGAGGGCAGCAGUGAAACAGACUUAGAAGAUGUAAGAAGUCAGGACACAGCAGUAGCUAGUAACGAGAGCAGCAGAGAACCAGACAAUAGGAAUGCAGUCAAUUUAUUUGUGUAUUUUUUAUUCUUUAGCAUGAUUAUUAUUGGAUCAACACUGUUGCCUUUGACUUUAUUGGUUGGUUUUUCUUUCUGGCUGGAUAGUGAGAGUGUUGAAGUCACAAGUUUUUUCCAGGCUUUCAGAUUAUUUAAUGAAAAUUAGUUGUGGUGAUUAAAAUGAUUUUUACGAAUUACUUGUAUUUUACAGAAAACGUAGCAUACGAGAAUGAAUAUUAUGUAAGUAAUUUAGCAAACAAAUGACUUAUGACUUAUAUAAUGGUAAAAA
Molecule: long non-coding RNA, 455 nt
Organism: Centruroides sculpturatus (bark scorpion)
Lineage: Eukaryota; Metazoa; Arthropoda; Arachnida; Scorpiones; Buthidae
Exons: 2
Source: RefSeq, a predicted model, not a curated record